GACGAACGCUGGCGGCGUGCCUAAUACAUGCAAGUGGGACGCAAGGGAACACACCGUGCUUGCACACCGUGUUUUCUUGAGUCGCGAACGGGUGAGUAACGCGUAGGUAACCUGCCUAUUAGCGGGGGAUAACUAUUGGAAACGAUAGCUAAUACCGCAUAAUAUUAAUUAUUGCAUGAUAAUUGAUUGAAAGAUGCAAGCGCAUCACUAGUAGAUGGACCUGCGUUGUAUUAGCUAGUUGGUAAGGUAAGAGCUUACCAAGGCGACGAUACAUAGCCGACCUGAGAGGGUGAUCGGCCACACUGGGACUGAGACACGGCCCAGACUCCUACGGGAGGCAGCAGUAGGGAAUCUUCGGCAAUGGACGAAAGUCUGACCGAGCAACGCCGCGUGAGUGAAGAAGGUUUUCGGAUCGUAAAGCUCUGUUGUAAGUCAAGAACGUGUGUGAGAGUGGAAAAGUUCACACAGU
Molecule: ribosomal RNA, 469 nt
Filed under: Streptococcus mutans
Lineage: Bacteria; Bacillati; Bacillota; Bacilli; Lactobacillales; Streptococcaceae
Description: bacterial SSU rRNA
Rfam family: Bacterial small subunit ribosomal RNA
Source: RNAcentral